This 2394-nucleotide ribosomal RNA is filed under the name Erythrolobus australicus. RNAcentral's name for it is "partial Eukaryotic large subunit ribosomal RNA". It matches the Rfam family "Eukaryotic large subunit ribosomal RNA", at positions 1 to 2415 of the family's 3401-position model. Lineage: Eukaryota; Rhodophyta; Bangiophyceae; Porphyridiales; Porphyridiaceae. The record is from RNAcentral.
GACCUCAAAUCAGGUAAGACCACCCGCUGAAUUUAAGCAUAUAAUUAAGCGGAGGAAAAGAAACUAACUAGGAUUCCCUCAGUAGCGGCGAGCGAAGCGGGAAGAGCUCAACGUGAAAAUCUGGGAGCUUUGCUCUCCGAAUUGUAGUCUAAAGAGGCGCUCUCUGUGCCGACCCAGGUAUAAGUCCCCUUUUGAAUGGGGCGUCAUAGAGGGUGAUAACCCCGUUUAUGACCUGGGCGUUUCGGUGCUGUACGAGGCGUUUUCGUCGAGUCGGGUUGCUUGAGAAUGCAGCCCCAAUUGGGUGGUAGACUUCAUCCUAAGCUAAAUACUGGCGGGAGACCGAUAGCGAACAAGUACUGUGAAGGAAAGAUGAAAAGCACUUUGAAAAGAGAGUUAAAGAGGACCUGAAACCGUUAAGGGGGAAGCGAAGAGUGCGAGUGGUGUAGCACGCCGUUCAGCGCGCUGCGGCGCGUGUACUCGGUGUGCUAGCCGUGUGGGCCGGCGGGCGAAAGUAUGUUCUUUUUUCGCGGGGGUUCUGUAUGGGACCUGCUCUGCGGCCUGCCGCCGCGCACACGAAAUGGCGCUCUCCGACCCGUCUUGAAACACGGACCAAGGAGUCUAACAUGGGUGCGAGUGCUCGGGUGGCAAACCCCUGCGCGGAAUGAAAGUGAAUCGGUGGGAGCGCUGCGCCAUUGUGCGGGGGCGUGCACCAUCGUCCGACUUUGAUCUUCUGAGAAAGGUUUGAGAACGAGCAUCUAUGCUGGGACCCGAAAGAUGGUGAACUAUGCCUGAGCAGGGUGAAGCCAGAGGAAACUCUGGUGGAGGCUCGUAGCGGUGCUGACGUGCAAAUCGCUCGUCGGACUUGGGUAUAGGGGCGAAAGACUAAUCGAACCAUCUAGUAGCUGGUUCCCUCCGAAGUUUCCCUCAGGAUAGCGAGAACGUGGGAUUCAGUUUUGUCAGGUAAAGCGAAUGAUUAGAGGAUUGGGGGGAUUCGUUCCUUCAGCCUAUUCUCAAACUUUAAAUAGGCAAGGCGCGCGAGUUGCUUGGUUGAACUUGCGCGGACAAUGAACGUUCUCAGUGGGCCAUUUUUGGUAAGCAGAACUGGCGAUGCGGGAUGAACCGAAAGCAAAGCUAAGGUGCCAAACUGUACGCUCAUUUCGAACCCAUAAAAGGUGUUGAUGCAUCUAGACAGCAGGACGGUGGCCAUGGAAGUCGGAACCCGCUAAGGAGUGUGUAACAACUCACCUGCCGAAUGCAUUAGCCCUGAAAAUGGAUGGCGCUCAAGCGUGCGACCGAUGCUUUGCCGUGCGUCCAAGUGCGAUGGACCUUGCAUGAGUAGGAGGGCGUGGGGUUUGUGACGCAGCCUUGGGCGUGAGCCCGGGUGAAACGGACCCUAGUGCAGAUCUUGGUGGUAGUAGCAAAUAUUCAAGUGAGAUCCUUGAAGACUGAAGUGGAGAAGGGUUCCAUGCGGACAGCGAUUGGACAUGGGUUAGUCGGUCCUAAGAGAUGGGGAAACUCUGUUUCAAGUGCCGGCUUGGUUCGGCAGGCCAUCGAAAGGGGAUUGGGUUAAGAUUCCCAAACCGGGAUGUGGGGAGUUUAGGCGGCAACGCAAGUGAGCUCGAAGACGUCGGCUGAAGCCCUGGGCAGAGUUGUCUUUUCUGUUUGACGCGCCUAGCGCCCUGGAAUCGGAUUAUCCGGAGAUAGGGCUCGUUGGCCGGCAGAGCGUCGCGCGUCCUGCGGCGUCCGGUGCGCUUCAGACGGCCCGUGAAAAUUCGAGCAAACCGAGUGCCUUCACGCCCGGCCGUACCCAUCACCGCAUCAGGUCUCCAAGGUGAGUAGCCUCUAGUCGAUAGAAGAAUGUAGGCAAGGGAAGUCGGCAAAUUGGUUCCGUAACUUUGGGAAAAGGAAUGGCUCUAAGGGUUGAGCCGCGCGGUCUGUCGGAAGAAGCGCGGCGUGCGCCGCGCUCUAGCCCCGCCUGCCUUCACGGGGAGGCGGGGCCGGGGCGCGGCGCGUGCUUUGCGUGGACACUGGCGGAAGGGCCUUUUCCCUCGGGAGGGGGCGCGCUCGCGCGGCAAGGAACAACCAACUUAGAACUGGUACGGACAAGGGGAAUCCGACUGUUUAAUUAAAACAAAGCAUUGCGAUGGCCGGAAAUGGUGUUGACGCAAUGUGAUUUCUGCCCAGUGCUCUGAAUGUCAAAGUGAAGAAAUUCAACCAAGCGCGGGUAAACGGCGGGAGUAACUAUGACUCUCUUAAGGUAGCCAAAUGCCUCGUCAUCUAAUUAGUGACGCGCAUGAAUGGAUUAACGAGAUUCCCACUGUCCCUGUCUACUAUCUAGCGAAACCACAGCCAAGGGAACGGGCUUGGAAAAAUCAGCGGGGAAAGAAGACCCUG